This 73-nucleotide transfer RNA is filed under the name Diaphorina citri (Asian citrus psyllid). It matches the Rfam family "tRNA". From Rfam's summary of the family: Transfer RNA (tRNA) molecules are approximately 80 nucleotides in length. Their secondary structure includes four short double-helical elements and three loops (D, anti-codon, and T loops). Further hydrogen bonds mediate the characteristic L-shaped molecular structure. tRNAs have two regions of fundamental functional importance: the anti-codon, which is responsible for specific mRNA codon recognition, and the 3' end, to which the tRNAs corresponding amino acid is attached (by aminoacyl-tRNA synthetases). tRNAs cope with the degeneracy of the genetic code in two manners: having more than one tRNA (with a specific anti-codon) for a particular amino acid; and 'wobble' base-pairing, i.e. permitting non-standard base-pairing at the 3rd anti-codon position. Lineage: Eukaryota; Metazoa; Arthropoda; Insecta; Hemiptera; Psyllidae. The record is from Rfam by way of RNAcentral.
GCCUAGUUAGCUUAGUUGGUAGUGCGUCUGCCUUGUAAGCGCUAGGCCGCGGGUUCGAUUCCUGCCCCGGGCG